Molecule: transfer RNA, 72 nt
Organism: Lichtheimia corymbifera
Lineage: Eukaryota; Fungi; Mucoromycota; Mucoromycetes; Mucorales; Lichtheimiaceae
Rfam family: tRNA
About the family: Transfer RNA (tRNA) molecules are approximately 80 nucleotides in length. Their secondary structure includes four short double-helical elements and three loops (D, anti-codon, and T loops).
Source: Rfam
UCUCGGAUAGUAUAGUGGUCAGUAUCCCCGCCUGUCACGCGGGAGACCCGGGUUCAAUUCCCGGUCCGAGAG